GACGAACCGUACGAACGUUAUUCGGAAUCACUGGGCUUAAAGGGUGCGUAGGCGGCGCGACAAGUUGGGUGUGAAAUCCCUCGGCUCAACCGAGGAACUGCGCCCAAAACUGUCGUGCUCGAGGGAGACAGAGGUGAGCGGAACUUAGGGUGGAGCGGUGAAAUGCGUUGAUAUCCUAAGGAACACCGGUGGCGAAAGCGGCUCACUGGGUCUCUGCUGACGCUGAGGCCCGAAAGCUAGGGUAGCGAGCGGG
This 253-nucleotide ribosomal RNA is filed under the name uncultured bacterium. RNAcentral describes it as "partial 16S ribosomal RNA". It matches the Rfam family "Bacterial small subunit ribosomal RNA", at positions 524 to 776 of the family's 1533-position model. The record is from RNAcentral.